RNAcentral lists this long non-coding RNA (4188 nucleotides) under Gossypium barbadense (sea-island cotton). RNAcentral's name for it is "long non-coding RNA (GBAR_LNC002009)". Lineage: Eukaryota; Viridiplantae; Streptophyta; Magnoliopsida; Malvales; Malvaceae. The record is from RNAcentral.
UAGACUUUUAUAAAUAAAAACAAAAAAUAUCAACAGUACUAGACUGAAGUCCAUUAGCAAAAGCCUAUUAAACAAAAAUAAAAGAAAAAAUGGGCCUAGAUCACACAGAAAUGUCUCAUAACUUAAAACUUAACUAAAACAGAAAAAGGAAACCUAAUCUUAUCCUAUACCAGUGGAAAUCAACAGCUGGAUACCAUUAGUCAGUGUCCGUUCACUUCACCGAUCCAGCUUUAAUGAUAGCAGUUUUCAAAAUAUCUUUUAAUCUUCUGCUACCCAUUUCCAAAGGAGUACAUCUUACUUUUUCUUUCAAUCUAGUUGCCUUGGUCGAAGUUUCUCUAGCGUACAACAAACGUAAUCUGGAACUCCAACCAACAGGUAAUGACUUUCUCCCUUCUUUAUAGCCUUUUUCACAAGAACAUGGGCAUAUUAUUCUCUAUUUUAGGGAUAAAAUGAAACCCUAUCUCUUGAAAUUCUGCCUUUUUGCUUUGGAUGUCUCUGAUGAGUGCUCCAAUGGCCAAUUUGUCAAAAUCUGUACUUUGGCAUUUCUUUAUUACAGUUUUUGAGUCUCCCAUUAUUUCUAGAUUGUUGAAGCCCAUGUAAAUUCCUAAUCUCAUGGGUUGUAAUCUUGUAUGUGCAUUCGCCGUAAACGGAGUUGCUAUAUCGGAGUGAAUGACCGUCUUUGAUGCCAAGAUCUCGCUCCUCACAUCUCGUACUAUCAGACCCGAAGCAGAUUUGAAAGAUUGUUGGUCAAAGGCUACAUCAAAAAAGAUUGCAACCUUUGUUCUUCGAUUAACAUGUUUAGGGCCUCUGUCAACUUGAAAGGUGAGUUUAUUCUCUUUUAUACCAUCAAACUCAAAGAUGUAACUACAUAUUUGCUUUGAGAUGUCUCUUCCUGUCGUAUUUUUCCUUUAAUACAUUAACCGAUUUCUAUUGGAACAGAUUAACCAAAGCCCACAACAGAAAAGUUGACACUGUUCACUAGUCCCCCGACUAAAAACCCAGGUAAGCCAUUCCCACAUAUUGUGAAUGUCGUUAUUAUGGACCCAGAAAAGAUUUAAAUAACUCCAAACAUCACUGUUGUAGGACACUGUCAAAAUAUAUGAUUACUAUCUUCCUUAUAUUGGCGACACCGAGGGCAAUAAUCGUCCACAGCCACUUUCUUAUGCUUGAGGUUAAUAAGAGUAGGAAUAAAACUCCAUGAGAUUCUUCAUACUGUAAUUGUAACUUUUGAGGGAAUGUAUAAAUUCCGUAGCUUUCUGUAGAAUUUUUUGUUUCAGCCUGUAUAAUAUAAUUACUAGGACCCAAGUUAGUCUCCUGUAAUAGUUUAUAGGCACUUAUAACUAAGAAAUCACCAGACUAUUCUUCUCUCCACACUUGAAAAUCAUCAUAUGCUAUCUCUGCCCAAGGAAUCUGCAUGAUUUUCUUUGCAAUAUCCGUUUGAAAGGUAUUCAUAAUAACAUCUGUUUUCCAAGUCCUGUUAUUAGCCUUAAUCAAAUCCAAUACUAACUUGAUGUUUUCUUUGUUGUCUUGAUUCUGUAAUCUAUCUGCUUCAUCCCAUCUUUUAGUAGCUUAUUCAAACAAAAUGCAAUCAUCUACAAAUAGUAGAUGAGAAAUAUGUGGCUCACUUUUACUUGCUUUUACUCCACUAAGUAUUUUUCUUUCAUUGCAAUCGUCAUAAGACUAGAGAGGCAUUUCCCACAAAAUAAAAAUAGAAACAGACUCAAAGGAUCUCCUGUCUUAGUCCUCUAGUUGGAUGAAAAGUUUCUCCAAUGUGUCUAUUGAAAACCACCGAAUACGAUACUGUAGAUACGUAUUUCAUUAAAGAAUCAACCCAUCCUGAAUCAAAACCCAUUCUCAUUAUUUUUUCCACAAAAUUCCAUUUGACCCUGUCGCACCGCGAUAAACCAUUUUUUCCCUACCUUCUUGUGCUUUAAUGUGUGUAAAAUUUCAUAAUCCAGUAACACAUUAUCAAAAAUCAACCUCUGAUGCACAAAAGCACUUUGUGCUAAAUUAGUACAUUUAUCAACCACUACCCUAAUUUGAUUAGCAAUGACCUUAACUAUCAAUUUAUAAAGCACAAUACAUAAGCUAAUUGGUCUAAAUUGAGUAAUACUUGAAGGGUUUGAAAUUUUCGGUAUUAGCACAAUAUUUGUUUUAUUGGUCGAAUUUAUAUUCAUACCUCCAUUUAGUCGUUGAAGACAAAAGGCUAAAACAUAUUCUCCGAUGAUCGACCAACACUUCUGAUAAAAUAAGGAUGGAAAGUCAUCCUCUCCUGGUGCUUUUGUGGAACCUAAUUUUGAUAAUGCUUCUCGUAUCUCCUCUUAGAGUUGCUCGCUUUUAGCCUAGAAUUGUCUUCAUCAGAAAUACAGUAAUCAAUUUCGGACAAAAUAUGUUCAUAAUUUCCUUAUCUCCUAGUUGAAAAUAGCCUUUGGAAAUACGAUCUAGCAAUUACUUCCAUUUCCUUAACCUCUUUCGUCUCCCUACCAUCAUCGAACUGCAUUUUACAAAUAAAAUUUCUUCUUCUCCUAUGUGUCGCUUGUUUAUGAAAAAAACAGUAUUUUUGUCUCCAAAUUUCAUCCAAUUUACUCGAGCCCUCUGUUUCCAGUAGUACUCAUCCUUCUCAAUCUCAAAAUUCAGUUGUAUCUUUAUGUCAAUAAAUUCUGCCAAGUUGUCAUCAUUUUUAUUAGAUUCCAACAAUUUAGUCAAUUUAGAAGUUAAUACCUCUUUUUUUUUAUUUUUCUGCUGCGUCGAGUUUGAUUAGCUGACCUCUCCAAGCCUUUUUUUACACUUUCUAACUACUCAGUAGAUUUCCUGUGGAAUUCUCCCAAAUGUGCCGAACCUCCUCAACAAAUGAUUCCUCUAAAACCCACCAAGUUUCAAACUUAAAACUUUUAUUAAAAUGUCCCUUAACUUCAAGUUCUGUAGUAAUAAAUAGUGGACAAUAGUCUGAUGAAGAAUGAGAAAGAUGUUGAAUUAAGGAAUCUGGAAAUAAGGAUAUCCAUUCUUUAGUAGCCAAUCCCCUAUCUAAUCUUUCUUGAAUGUUCGUUUCCGGAAAGUUUCCUCUCUCCCAAAUGAACCAGUUUCCUGAUAACCUACAUCUAACAGAUUACAAUCUUCCAACGCCUUUCGAAAAGCUUCCAUUCGUCUCUCCUCUCAAGGUAAGCCUCCAUUUUUUUCAAAUUCAUACAUAAUUUCAUUAAAGUCUCUACAAACCAGCCAUGGAAGCUCCCCUUCAUUACGUAAGUGCCUUAAAAGAUUCCAUGAUUCAUCCCUAUCCUAUGUGUAGGGAGAUCCAUAGAAACCAAUAAAUCUCCACUGGUUACUGGCAUCUGUAUCUUCGAUUAUCACAUCAAUAUGCCAUUUUGAAAAACUCUGGAACAUAAUAUUAACAUCCCCACGCCAUGCUAAACAUAAUCCUCCUCUAGAACCAAUUGAAUCAACAUCAAUACCAUUAGGAAAACCACAACUCCUUCAAACUCUUUCCAUCUGACUCAUUUUAAUUUUUGUCUCCAUGAAGAAGACCAUAUGGGGAUUGUAUAACUUCAGCGGAUUCCGAAGUCUUCGAAUUGUCCAUGGAUUCCCCAAACCACGGACAUUCCAACUUAAGAUUUUUAUGGCUUCAGGUUGGCUUGCCUCUUGGCAGCUGCUGAUAACAAAUGAUUAAUUUCCAAUAAUCCUCUAUUUCUAACUACCAAAAUGUUACUUUCUUCAGUCUCCCCCUAGCUCUCUUUUCCCCUUCCUCUCCUAUUAACACAUCAUCUUCCAAAUCAUGGUCCACUACAGUUUGGGCUUAACCUGUCAAUGAAUUUUCCCCUUGACAUGAAGAGGACGUUCUUCCUUCCAAAUUGAAACCUAAAAUAGGGUCAAUAACCUUGUUACUCCCUUAUUUUUUACCUACUCCCCACCCACUGUUUCCUAGUGUUCGGCCGCUUACUCUGCUUCCACCCAGUACUCCUUCUCCUUCCUCUCGUAGCUAGAUGCUAUUCAUUGCUUGGGCUCUCCGAGAUUGUCUCGCAGUGAUAAGUCCCAACCCAUUUCAGCAAUUUCUACCCCUAAUGCAUCUUUGCUUCACAAAAAGAAUCAUUAUGGCCCAAACGGCCAAAAUAGAAACAAAAAAGUGAUAAUCUUUAAUACUUAAAUCUAAUAUUUGAUUCUCUUUCACCAGGUUCAAGCCAUCAUACUCCAUAA